UACGUAGGCAGCGAGCGUUGUUCGGAGUUACUGGGCGUAAAGGGUGUGUAGGCGGUUGUUUAAGUUUGGUGUGAAAUCUCCCGGCUCAACUGGGAGGGUGCGCCGAAUACUGAAUGACUAGAGUGCGGGAGAGGUGAGUGGAAUUCCUGGUGUAGCGGUGAAAUGCGUAGAUAUCAGGAGGAACACCGGUGGUGUAGACGGCUCACUGGACCGUAACUGACGCUGAGACACGAAAGCGUGGGGAGCAAACAGG
Molecule: ribosomal RNA, 253 nt
Filed under: uncultured bacterium
Lineage: Bacteria
Description: partial 16S ribosomal RNA
Rfam family: Bacterial small subunit ribosomal RNA
Source: RNAcentral